Molecule: ribosomal RNA, 490 nt
Filed under: uncultured Nitrospira sp.
Lineage: Bacteria; Pseudomonadati; Nitrospirota; Nitrospiria; Nitrospirales; Nitrospiraceae
Description: bacterial SSU rRNA
Rfam family: Bacterial small subunit ribosomal RNA
Source: RNAcentral
AGAGUUUGAUCAUGGCUCAGAAUGAACGCUGGCGGCGCGCCUAAUACAUGCAAGUCGAGCGAGAAGACGUAGCAAUACGUUUGUAAAGCGGCGAACGGGUGAGGAAUACAUGGGUAACCUACCCUUGAGUGGGGAAUAACUAGCCGAAAGGUUAGCUAAUACCGCGUACGCUCCUUGGACUUCGGUUCAGGGAGGAAAGCGCUACCGUGGGUAGCGCGCUCUUGGAUGGGCUCAUGUCCUAUCAGCUUGUUGGUGAGGUAACGGCUCACCAAGGCUUCGACGGGUAGCUGGUCUGAGAGGACGAUCAGCCACACUGGCACUGCGACACGGGCCAGACUCCUACGGGAGGCAGCAGUAAGGAAUAUUGCGCAAUGGGCGAAAGCCUGACGCAGCGACGCCGCGUGGGGGAUGAAGGUCUUCGGAUUGUAAACCCCUUUCGGGAGGGAAGAUGGAGUGGGGUAACCCAUUCGGACGGUACCUCCAGAAGCAG